GUGAAUUAAGCGGUCUGUGUUGAGCGACAUGAAUUCCUUUACUGCGUGGCGUUCCAAAGGCGAUUCUCACCCGGGUGUCGCCUGUGCUGUGGCUCUCCUCUAUGCCCAAGAAACAGGUCUGCAUCCAGGCUUGGUGGGAAUUUCCACUACAGAAAGAGAAUCAAAUACCCCAGCCACUAUGCCAUGAAAUGCAACCUCUGGCUUCGCAACCUCUGUGAGUUGCUGAAUUCUUCCUUCCAAGUUGCUCGCCAACUACCAGACUCUCUGCGCAAGAUCAGCCAUCGCCAUUGUCCUCGUCUCUGAAAAUUGUUCUGUCAAUGAAAUGAUCUACCAUGAAGGACAUCUGUGGAAACACAGUCUGUGACGAGAGCCCAUGAAUAAUUUCCACGUGCUCCUGCCAGUCUUUUAAGCUGCGCGUCCUUGAGUCACAGAGACAUGGCUGGGCAGCUGAAAGUGUCACCGAGUAUUCCGUGGACACCACAGUUCACUCAAGUGUUAACUGCUCACAAGGAUACACAGCCAGCCUCCCCCAAACAUGAGGCGAUCCAACUGUGUUCUUCCCAUGAGAAGCCAAAGGCAUCUCUCCCCAAGCACAAAGUAGUAAAGAGCCCUGGAUGCCUGGUUCCUAUUCCUGGGAGCGUAUGCAAUUACUCUGUCACCCUGGUGGCCAACACUAACUGUCCUAUCAGCAUGACUCCUGAUUAUCAGCUCCCCAUCUGCAUGAAAGUAAAAGCCAGCUCAUCCUAUUCACCGGCUCCGAAUCCUCCACUGGCUUCCCCUUUCACUAGAAUAAAACCCUAAAUCUUUACAAUGACCUGACAACAUAAUUCUCCCCCGUUCCCUCCGCCGAAACUGCUGUUAUUUUGCCGGCUUUGUGCAUUACUCAUCCUCUCUAGACCAGUUUGCUAGGGCUGCCGUAACAAAAUACUCCAGAAUGGGUGAUGGAAACAACAGAAACUUAUUUUCCCACAGUCAUGGACGCUCACGGUGUCACCGGAUUUAGUUUCUUCCGAAAUGUCUCUCCUUAGCUUGAACAUGGCCAUCUUUUCACUGUGUCCUCACAUGGUCUUUCCUCUGGUGUCUCUCUGUGUCCAAAUAUCCUCUUUUAAUAAGGACACCAGUCAGACAGGAUUAGGGCUCACACCUUCAUUUUAACAUAGUCAUCUCUUUAAAAGGAUCUAUCUUCAAACACAGUCAUAUUCUCACAUACCAGGGGUUAAGACUCCAGCACAUGAAAUCGGAGGGGACAGGAUUCAGCCCAUGGCACCCUCGAUCAUUCUGCUGCAGCCAACCUGACUUUCCGAAAGUUAUUCAAACAUACCCCUUGCCUUUACGCCAUCUAUUCCUUACCUCUCACACACUGCAAAUCCAAUAAAGUCUGCCCCACUCUUUAAGGAUGCGCCUGC
This 1406-nucleotide long non-coding RNA is filed under the name Sus scrofa (pig). RNAcentral's name for it is "lncRNA (ENSSSCG00025067501.1)". The record is from RNAcentral. Lineage: Eukaryota; Metazoa; Chordata; Mammalia; Artiodactyla; Suidae.